ACUGCUCAGUAACACGUGGACAACCUACCCUUAGGUCGGGGAUAAACCCGGGAAACUGGGUAUAAUACCCGAUAGAUCUCGACUGCUGGAAUGCAUCGAGAUCGAAAGCUCCGGCGCCUAAGGAUGGGUCUGCGGCCUAUCAGGUAGUAGUGGGUGUAAUGUACCUACUAGCCUACGACGGGUACGGGUCGUGAGAGCGAGAGCCCGGAGAUGGAUUCUGAGACACGAAUCCAGGCCCUACGGGGUGCAGCAGGCGCGAAAACUUUACAAUGCUGGAAACAGCGAUAGGGGGACUUUGAGUGCCAGGAUACAAUUCUGGCUGUCGUGAUGCCUAAAAAGCAUUGCAUAGCAAGGGCCGGGCAAGACCGGUGCCAGCCGCCGCGGUAACACCGGCGGCUCGAGUGGUAACCGCUAUUAUUGGGUCUAAAGGGUCUGUAGCCGGCUGGAUAAGUCUCUUGGGAAAUCCGAUAGCUUAACUAUCGGGCUUCCAGGGGAUACUGUCUGGCUCGAGACCGGGAGAGGUGAGAGGUACUUCAUGGGUAGGGGUGAAAUCUUGUAAUCCUUGAAGGACCACCAGUGGCGAAGGCGUCUCACCAGAACGGAUCUGACGGCAAGGGACGAAAGCUAGGGGCACGAACCGGAUUAGAUACCCGGGUAGUCCUAGCCGUAAACGAUACUCGCUAGGUGUCGGCCACGGUGCGACCGUGGUCGGUGCCGUAGGGAAGCCGUGAAGCGAGCCACCUGGGAAGUACGGCCGCAAGGCUGAAACUUAAAGGAAUUGGCGGGGGAGCA
RNAcentral lists this ribosomal RNA (792 nucleotides) under uncultured archaeon. RNAcentral describes it as "bacterial SSU rRNA". It matches the Rfam family "Archaeal small subunit ribosomal RNA", at positions 85 to 878 of the family's 1478-position model. The record is from RNAcentral.